Molecule: ribosomal RNA, 388 nt
Filed under: uncultured bacterium
Lineage: Bacteria
Description: bacterial SSU rRNA
Rfam family: Bacterial small subunit ribosomal RNA
Source: RNAcentral
AUUGAACGCUGGCGGAAUGCUUUACACAUGCAAGUCGAGCGGCAGCGCGGGGGCAACCCUGGCGGCGAGCGGCGAACGGGUGAGUAAUACAUCGGAACGUGUCCUUCAAGUGGGGGAUAGCUCGGCGAAAGCCGGAUUAAUACCGCAUAAGCUCUGAGGAGGAAAGCGGGGGACUGGUAACGGCCUCGCGCUGUUGGAGCGGCCGAUGUCAGAUUAGCUAGUUGGGGGGUAAAGGCCCACCAAGGCGACGAUCCGUAGCUGGUCUGAGAGGAUGAUCAGCCACACUGGAACUGAGACACGGUCCAGACUCCUACGGGAGGCAGCAGUGGGGAAUUUUGGACAAUGGGGCAACCCUGAUCCAGCCAUUCCGCGUGAGUGAAGAAGGCCU